RNAcentral lists this ribosomal RNA (468 nucleotides) under uncultured bacterium. RNAcentral describes it as "partial 16S ribosomal RNA". It matches the Rfam family "Bacterial small subunit ribosomal RNA", at positions 28 to 507 of the family's 1533-position model. The record is from RNAcentral.
GACGAACGCUGGCGGCGUGCUUAACACAUGCAAGUCGAACGGAAAGGCCCUGCUUUUGUGGGUUUCUCGAUUGGCGAACGGGUGAGUAACACGUGUGUAACCUGCCCUUGACUUUGGGAUAACUUCAGGAAACUGGGGCUAAUACCGGAUAUGAUCUCCUGCUGCAUGGUGUGGGUUGGUAAGUUUCGGCGGUUGGGGAUGGACUCGCGGCUUAUCAGCUUGUUGGUCGGGUAGUGGCUUACCAAGGCUUUGACGGGUAGCCGUCCUGAGAGGGUGAACGGGCACCAGGGGACUGAGAUACGGAGCAGAAUGGAACGGGACGCAACAGUGGGAAGUAUUGCGCAAUGGGCGGAAGCCAGAGACAGAGACGCCGGGUGCGGAAUGAUGGCUUACGAGUGAAGAACAACUUUCGCAGGAAACGAGGAGUGAGUGACGGUAAUGGGUAAGAAAGCACCGGCUAACUACGUG